CAUAGCAACGAGCGGCGCCCAUUCCGCUCCUCCCCAGCCGUCGGGGGCGGAGCCCGCUGAGCACCUUCCCGCCUUCCACCACUUACCGGGCCUCAGUCGUGGGAGGCCGAUGGCAGUCAGCGUGGUGGGUCGCAGUAGAGAGCUGGGCUGGGAUCCAACAGGGAAGACCGCACCAGAGUGAAGCGUUUGAAAAGGCUUGGGAAGUUCAGCACAGCAGCAUCCGCCUCUGGCAUUUAUUUGUAUCACACUUCGUCUUGCCACUUUCUCUCACUGAAGCUUCCCGGUAGACCUGGGAACCCAGCAAGGCAAGGCUACUUGCCCCCCUUUUACAACUGAGGAAACUGACGCCCAACUUGGACUCAGGGAAGAAGCGAGCGGAUCCAACCUCUGCAACAGCGCAAAUGUCAGUCAUGUCUCCCAACACUCCACCCCACCUCACCCCUAACCAGAGCACAGGAGUGGUCGUUCAUCCAUCCACCCAACACUUAUUCACCUGGAAAUGUGGUUUUCUUCAGCGAGCAAAGGCAGAAAAAGCCUAGUGAACCCCACUGCAACAAAGCCUGCCAGCGGUCUGCCUUCUAUUCCCACCUCCCUCUCCCAACCCACCAAACCCAAGUGGCAUCUCAGUGUCCACUAUACUCUGGUUAUAUCCCUUUCACCACCAUCCAGCCAAAUAGCUGUUCAGACAAUUCCUUGAUCAAACAACACUGCCUUCUUGAGUUUAAAUUUUAUUUUACAAAAAGAGAAAUAAAGAAAACUGAUAGGCAGUUAUACUGA
Molecule: long non-coding RNA, 777 nt
Organism: Canis lupus familiaris (dog)
Lineage: Eukaryota; Metazoa; Chordata; Mammalia; Carnivora; Canidae
Exons: 2
Source: RefSeq, a predicted model, not a curated record